AGUAGAGGAAGUGGUUGUGGGAACAAGUUUGCAAAAUGAGCUAAAAGGGUGGGGUUGAUGUACAGAGGUAACGCUGGGAGCCACCAUUUAUACUCUGUGGUACCUGGGCUUCCUUGUCCAUGUCUCUAGCAUGAAGAUGUUGGCUUCCCUGCCUCCUAAUAGCUACUCAUUCCCUCCUCAAAUUUUCUCUUUCUGUGAGAAAUUGUGGAUAGAAAAUACCCCUCUCCGCUUUCCCCACCACAGAAUGGAGAGCUUCUUAUUUUGGAUGCCCCUGUUCAUGCAUGAGAGAGGGGAACCCUUGCCAGAAGUAUGAGCAGCAGGGAUCUGGGGAGCUUAAUGUCAAAGCUACAUCUUCAUAAAGAACCAUUCAUAUUGACGAGGCCACUUCCUCAUCCCUGGGUGCCUGCAGGAAUAAAGAGAGACCACAGUAAAGCUGCUCUUAUCAGAGAGGUGCACCCUGGGCCAAGUCAUAGGACCUCCAGAGUCCAGGCCUCAUUUGGGCUGACAGCUGCUCACAUCAGCCAGAGGCAGAACCAGGGAGCUGAGUGUCAGUGCCUGGGACCACCGUAGGAAGCCAGGGACUGUAGACCUUACCCCAUGUGGCUAGAGGCUCAAGACGUGGGCCAGGCUCCUUGGUGUGAAUCUCAGUUCAACUGCUGAUGAGCUGUGACGCCAGUGGGCUGUUGGCACUCACAAGCCUCUGUCUCAUUACCUGUCACGUGGAGUGAUGCUGAUGCGGCUCUUCAUAGGGCUGUGUGGGGAAGCAGGCAAUGAACCACACAGAAAACACCUGCAGAGAGUGAGUGCUCAGUGGAGGCUGGUUACCAUUCUUUGGAAACAUAAAGAAAGGCUUUAUGCAUCUCUAUAUGAAAUGUUAACAAAAUGGUGAGCUUGUGAAACCAGUUCGUUCAUGGGAAGAUUUCCAGUCGUGCAGCAGGCUGAGAGCUACUGAGGCAGGUGAGAGCCAGCUAGAGUUGACAGGCAACGUCACAUCCCGUCUUGUGCUGUUGACUGACUUGCCUCUCCCCGAUGCAUACCCCUAAACACGCUGCAGUAUCGUUGAGGGCAGGGGCUGUGGCUUACUUCUUUUUUUUAACUUCAUAAAAAUUUCCUUUAUAUCUAAAAAAUGUCAUAAACAUAAUUCAAAGACCGAGUCCAAACUGGGAAAAACAUUUAUUACAAAGCAAAUGCAAUAAUAGGUUGAUGAUCUUUAUUUAUUAAAAAAUUUUUUUUUUAGAGAUGGAAUCUUGCUCUGUUGCCCUGGCUGGAGUGCAGUGGCGGGAUCAUAGCUCACCGCAGCCUCGAUCUCCUGGGCUCAAGCGAUCCUCCUGCCUCAGCCUCAUGAGUAGCGUGCCACCAUGCCUGGCUAAUUUAAAAAAAAUUUUUUUUUUUUUUGUAGAGAUGCAGUCUCACUAUGUUGCCCGGGCUAGUCUUGAACUCCUGGCCUCAAGCAAUCCUUCUGCCUCAGCCUUCCAAAGUGCUGGAAUUAUAGGUGUGUGCUACCACACUCAGUCAAUCAUCUUUUUAAAGAAUAAUUUAUUUUGAAACAAUAAUAAACAUACAGGGAAAUUGGAAGUACAGUAUCCAAAACUAUUUUAUUUUCUUAAUCCAUUUGAACAAAAGUUGCUGAUCUGAUGCCAUAACACCCCAAAUAUUAUGCAGCCAAGAUAAUAACAUGAUUGUUGUUUUAAGAAACCUACUUUUGUACUGAUAACUGGAACAAAGUUUGAUACCUGGAAGUGGUGCUGGUGCAGCAAACCCUAAUCCAUGGGGCACUGGCUCUGGGCCCAGGCACUGGGUGGAAGCUGGAAGGACCCUGAGGAGACUGACAGUGAGGGCUUAUAAAAAGGUAGUGCCUGGCUGGGCGUAGUGGUUCACGCCUGUCAUCCCAGCACUUUGAGAGACUGAGGCGGGAGGAUCACAUGAGGCCACGAGUUCGAGACCAGCCUGGACAACAUGGCAAAACCCUGUCUCUACUAAAAAUAUAAAAAUUAGCCAGCCGUGGUGGUGCACACCUGUAAUCCCAGCUACUCGGAAGUCUGAGGCACAAGACUCACUUGAACCCAGGAGGCAGAGGUUGCAGUGAGCCGAGAUCAUGCCACUGCACUCCAGCCUGGGCAACAGACCUGGACUGUCUCCAAAAAAGGUGGUGCCUGUGGGUAGUCCUAGCUACUCAGGAUGCUGAGGCAAGAAGAUCCCUUGAGCCCAGGAGUUGAAGGCUGCAGUGAAAUAUGAUUACGCCACUGCACUCCAGCCUGCACAAAAGAAAAAAUCCUUGCCUCUAAAAUUAAAAAUAAAAGCAGAAAAAGCUACUGAAAGCUGGAGGUAAAGGGAUCUACAUUAUGUAGUGGUAGGCAAACUUGGCAAUGCUGUUGUCUGUAGUUAGGUAGAAAAUAGGAAAUGUUCACAUCUUUCACCCACUUUUUGAUGGGGUUGUUUGUUUUUCUCUUGUAAAUUUGUUUAAGUUCCUUGUAGAUUUUGGAUAUUAGACCUUUGUCAGAUGGGUCGAUUGAAAAAAUUUUCACCCGUUCUGUAGGUUGCCCGUUUGCUCUCUGAUGAUAGCUUCUUUUGCUGUGCAGAAGCUCUUUAGUUUAAUUAGAUCCCAUUUAUCAAUUUUGGCUUUUGUUGCAAUUGCUUUUGGUGUUUUAGUCAUGAAGCAAAAGAAGACAUUUAUGCGGCCAACAAAUAUAUGAAACAAAGCUCAUCAUCACUGGUCAUUAGAGAAAUGCAAAUCAAAACCACAAUGGAUACCAUCUCAUGGCAGUUAGAAUGGCAAUCAUUAAAAAGUCAGGAAGCAACAGAUGCUGGCGAGGCUGUGGAGAAAUAGAAUGCUUUUACACAGUUGGUGGGAAUGUAAAUUACUUCAACCAUUGUGGAAGACAAUAUGGCGAUUCCUUAAGGAUCUAGAACCAGAAAUAUCAUUUGACCCAGCCAUCCCAUUACUGGGCAUAUACCCAAAGGAUUAUAAAUCAUUCUGUUAUAAAGAUACAUGCACACGUAUGUUUAUUGCAGCACUAUUUACAAUAGCAAAGACUUAGAACCAAUCCAAAUGCCCAUCAAUAAUAGACUGGAUAAAGAAAAUGUG
This 3085-nucleotide long non-coding RNA is filed under the name Homo sapiens (human). RNAcentral describes it as "HSALNT0036557". Lineage: Eukaryota; Metazoa; Chordata; Mammalia; Primates; Hominidae. The record is from RNAcentral.